Molecule: long non-coding RNA, 212 nt
Filed under: Elaeis guineensis (African oil palm)
Lineage: Eukaryota; Viridiplantae; Streptophyta; Magnoliopsida; Arecales; Arecaceae
Description: long non-coding RNA (EGUI_LNC015895)
Source: RNAcentral
CUUGAAGAAAUCAAGAAUCUUUCUCGAUCCUUCAACUAAUCAAGAAGAACAACAAUCAAAAAGUGGUUAUAUCUAACUUUCAACAAACUUGAGAGUAAAGGGAACAAGAAACAAAGUAAGUAGUGCCAAUAAUUAGAACCACUCCCUUAGAUGCUGCCCAUCCUCUCUAUGGCACCAAUGGAGGAUGGCUAAAGAGAGAUGAGAUGUGGGCU